GUCCAGCUGAUGAGUCGCAAACAGGACGAAUCGAUGGUCCUGGAU
RNAcentral lists this non-coding RNA (45 nucleotides) under Schistosoma mattheei. The record is from RNAcentral. Lineage: Eukaryota; Metazoa; Platyhelminthes; Trematoda; Strigeidida; Schistosomatidae.